UACAGAGGGUGCAAGCGUUGUUCGGAAUUAUUGGGCGUAAAGCGCGUGUAGGCGGCUUUGCAAGUCGGGUGUGAAAGCCCUCAGCUCAACUGAGGAAGUGCGCCCGAAACUGCAGAGCUUGAAUACCGGAGAGGAGACUGGAAUUCAUGGUGUAGCAGUGAAAUGCGUAGAGAUCAUGAGGAAGACCAGUGGCGAAGGCGGGUCUCUGGACAGUUCCUGACACUGAGGCACGAAGGCCAGGGGAGCAAACGGG
This 253-nucleotide ribosomal RNA is filed under the name uncultured bacterium. Its description in RNAcentral is "partial 16S ribosomal RNA". It matches the Rfam family "Bacterial small subunit ribosomal RNA", at positions 524 to 776 of the family's 1533-position model. The record is from RNAcentral.